Long non-coding RNA from Drosophila ananassae, 703 nucleotides. RefSeq lists it as uncharacterized. NCBI's taxonomy places the organism in Eukaryota, Metazoa, Arthropoda, Insecta, Diptera, Drosophilidae. The transcript is spliced from 2 exons. The record is from RefSeq and is a predicted model, not a curated record.
UAUUUUUCUCCACCUCUAAUAAGUCGACGCAUUCGACUUUUUGCUACUUUUGAUUUUGGUAACUGUUGCUUUCUUAACAAGAAUAUACACAUCGUGGAAGUCACCUGCACCUGCCAUCGCGCUUCUUUGCUGCUGGACUCACACGUUUUCAGCCAGUCGAGAGUUUAGCAAUAUGCAAUAUAUGCAAAAAAUCUCUUAAAAACUAUAGACUUUCAUGAGAGCAUAUUGUUGGCAAGUUAAAUCCCAGAUUUUUAGAUGUGGCCAUUGACACCUUGCAACGCUUUGAAAAUAAAAAUGAGUAAAUUAUCAAUUAUGUUUUUAUUAUGUUUAAUGUUUUUAUUUUUUGGUAUGAUUUGAUUUUCAUUUUCGGACCUCCGAACAUUUUUGGAAAUCGACAAAAGCAGCAGCUUUGACUUAUGCUCAUGAUCGAAAGCAACAGCAAGGCAGAAAGCAAGAAAUCCAUAAGCGGCGGCUGCUGCUGAUUUUUGAUUUUGGUUACUAUUUGAUUUUUACCUUUGCUUCGACUGCGACUUUUGCAUUUUCAGAAGCAAAAGCAAAAUCAUAUAAGAUGAAACUUACAACAGUUUUUCAAACACUCGUUUUUAGCCAGGAUUAAGGAAGUUAGUAGGCCUCAGCACGACAAAUAAGCAUAAGAUACGGAUUGCGAAGGUAGGCACUGAUAUGUCAUAAAAAGAUGAGGAAG